AGUGAACGCUGGCGGUAGGCCUAACACAUGCAAGUCGAACGGCAGCACAGUAAGAGCUUGCUCUUACGGGUGGCGAGUGGCGGACGGGUGAGGAAUACAUCGGAAUCUACUUUUUCGUGGGGGUUAACAUAGGGAAACUUACGCUAAUACCGCAUACGACCUACGGGUGAAAGCAGGGGAUCUUCGGACCUUGCGCGAUUGAAUGAGCCGAUGUCGGAUUAGCUAGUUGGCGGGGUAAAGGCCCACCAAGGCGACGAUCCGUAGCUGGUCUGAGAGGAUGAUCAGCCACACUGGAACUGAGACACGGACCAGACUCCUACGGGAGGCAGCAGUGGGGAAUAGUGGACAAUGGGCGCAAGCCUGAUCCAGCCAUACCGCGUGGGUGAAGAAGGCCUUCGGGUUGUAAAGCCCUUUUGUUGGGAAAGAAAAGCAGCAGGUUAAUACCCCGCUGUUCUGACGGUACCCAAAGAAUAAGCACCGGCUAACUUCGUG
Molecule: ribosomal RNA, 492 nt
Filed under: uncultured bacterium
Lineage: Bacteria
Description: partial 16S ribosomal RNA
Rfam family: Bacterial small subunit ribosomal RNA
Source: RNAcentral